This is a small nucleolar RNA of Dioscorea cayenensis subsp. rotundata (Guinea yam), 107 nucleotides long. The record is from RefSeq and is a predicted model, not a curated record. NCBI's taxonomy places the organism in Eukaryota, Viridiplantae, Streptophyta, Magnoliopsida, Dioscoreales, Dioscoreaceae.
AUCCCAUGUUGUGGACAUUUCCUUAACAAUUCCUUGUACCUUUCCCAUGUAGCAUAUAAGGUUUCUUAUUUCAUAUGCCUAAAAGAAGAAAUAUCACUCCUCAACUU